This 994-nucleotide ribosomal RNA is filed under the name Bacillus sp. NMLT23. RNAcentral's name for it is "bacterial SSU rRNA". It matches the Rfam family "Bacterial small subunit ribosomal RNA", at positions 51 to 1036 of the family's 1533-position model. Lineage: Bacteria; Bacillati; Bacillota; Bacilli; Caryophanales; Bacillaceae. The record is from RNAcentral.
GGACUGCAGUCGAGCGGAGAUUUGAAAAGCUUGCUUUUCAAAACUUAGCGGCGGACGGGUGAGUAACACGUGGGCAACCUGCCCUUGAGACGGGGAUAACUCCGGGAAACCGGAGCUAAUACCGGAUAACACAUAUCUUCGCAUGAGGAUAUGUUAGAAGGUGGCUUUUAGCUACCACUCAAGGAUGGGCCCGCGGCGCAUUAGCUAGUUGGUGAGGUAACGGCUCACCAAGGCGACGAUGCGUAGCCGACCUGAGAGGGUGAUCGGCCACACUGGGACUGAGACACGGCCCAGACUCCUACGGGAGGCAGCAGUAGGGAAUCUUCCGCAAUGGACGAAAGUCUGACGGAGCAACGCCGCGUGAGUGAUGAAGGUUUUCGGAUCGUAAAGCUCUGUUGUUAGGGAAGAACAAGUACCUGUUGAAUAAGCAGGUACCUUGACGGUACCUAACCAGAAAGCCACGGCUAACUACGUGCCAGCAGCCGCGGUAAUACGUAGGUGGCAAGCGUUGUCCGGAAUUAUUGGGCGUAAAGCGCGCGCAGGCGGUUCCUUAAGUCUGAUGUGAAAGCCCACGGCUCAACCGUGGAGGGUCAUUGGAAACUGGGGAACUUGAGUGCAGAAGAGGAGAGCGGAAUUCCACGUGUAGCGGUGAAAUGCGUAGAGAUGUGGAGGAACACCAGUGGCGAAGGCGGCUCUCUGGUCUGUAACUGACGCUGAGGCGCGAAAGCGUGGGGAGCGAACAGGAUUAGAUACCCUGGUAGUCCACGCCGUAAACGAUGAGUGCUAAGUGUUAGAGGGUUUCCGCCCUUUAGUGCUGCAGCAAACGCAUUAAGCACUCCGCCUGGGGAGUACGGUCGCAAGACUGAAACUCAAAGGAAUUGACGGGGACCCGCACAAGCGGGGAGCAUGUGGUUUAAUUCGAAGCAACGCGAAAACCUUACCCUUGACUCCUCUGCUACUUCUAGAGAUAGAACCCUUCGGGGACAGAGUGACG